GGGUGAGUAAUGCCUAGGAAUCUGCCUGGUAGUGGGGGAUAACGUUCGGAAACGGACGCUAAUACCGCAUACGUCCUACGGGAGAAAGCAGGGGACCUUCGGGCCUUGCGCUAUCAGAUGAGCCUAGGUCGGAUUAGCUAGUUGGUGAGGUAAUGGCUCACCAAGGCGACGAUCCGUAACUGGUCUGAGAGGAUGAUCAGUCACACUGGAACUGAGACACGGUCCAGACUCCUACGGGAGGCAGCAGUGGGGAAUAUUGGACAAUGGGCGAAAGCCUGAUCCAGCCAUGCCGCGUGUGUGAAGAAGGUCUUCGGAUUGUAAAGCACUUUAAGUUGGGAGGAAGGGUUGUAGAUUAAUACUCUGCAAUUUUGACGUUACCGACAGAAUAAGCACCGGCUAACUCUGUGCCAGCAGCCGCGGUAAUACAGAGGGUGCAAGCGUUAAUCGGAAUUACUGGGCGUAAAGCGCGCGUAGGUGGUUUGUUAAGUUGGAUGUGAAAUCCCCGGGCUCAACCUGGGAACUGCAUUCAAAACUGACUGACUAGAGUAUGGUAGAGGGUGGUGGAAUUUCCUGUGUAGCGGUGAAAUGCGUAGAUAUAGGAAGGAACACCAGUGGCGAAGGCGACCACCUGGACUAAUACUGACACUGAGGUGCGAAAGCGUGGGGAGCAAACAGGAUUAGAUACCCUGGUAGUCCACGCCGUAAACGAUGUCAACUAGCCGUUGGAAGCCUUGAGCUUUUA
This 742-nucleotide ribosomal RNA is filed under the name Pseudomonas sp. RNAcentral describes it as "bacterial SSU rRNA". It matches the Rfam family "Bacterial small subunit ribosomal RNA", at positions 104 to 842 of the family's 1533-position model. The record is from RNAcentral. Lineage: Bacteria; Pseudomonadati; Pseudomonadota; Gammaproteobacteria; Pseudomonadales; Pseudomonadaceae.